This 424-nucleotide ribosomal RNA is filed under the name uncultured Eubacterium sp. Its description in RNAcentral is "bacterial SSU rRNA". It matches the Rfam family "Bacterial small subunit ribosomal RNA", at positions 355 to 794 of the family's 1533-position model. The record is from RNAcentral. Lineage: Bacteria; Bacillati; Bacillota; Clostridia; Eubacteriales; Eubacteriaceae.
UGGGGAAUAUUGCACAAUGGGCGAAAGCCUGAUGCAGCAACGCCGCGUGAGGGAAGACGGUUUUCGGAUUGUAAACCUCUGUUUUCGGUGACGAACAAAUGACGGUAACCGAGUAGGAAGCCACGGCUAACUACGUGCCAGCAGCCGCGGUAAUACGUAGGUGGCAAGCGUUAUCCGGAAUUACUGGGUGUAAAGGGAGCGCAGGCGGGAUAGCAAGUCAGCUGUGAAAACUAUGGGCUCAACCCAUAAACUGCAGUUGAAACUGUUAUUCUUGAGUGGAGUAGAGGCAAGCGGAAUUCCGAGUGUAGCGGUGAAAUGCGUAGAUAUUCGGAGGAACACCAGUGGCGAAGGCGGCUUGCUGGGCUCUAACUGACGCUGAGGCUCGAAAGUGUGGGGAGCAAACAGGAUUAGAUACCCUGGUAGU